GCGGCGGACGGGUGAGUAACACGUGGGCAACCUGCCUGCAAGACGGGGAUAACUCCGGGAAACCGGGGCUAAUACCGGAUAAUAUCUUUCUUCGCAUGAAGGAAGGUUGAAAGGCGGCGCAAGCUGCCGCUUGCAGAUGGGCCCGCGGCGCAUUAGCUAGUUGGUGAGGCAACGGCUCACCAAGGCGACGAUGCGUAGCCGACCUGAGAGGGUGAUCGGCCACACUGGGACUGAGACACGGCCCAGACUCCUACGGGAGGCAGCAGUAGGGAAUCUUCCGCAAUGGACGAAAGUCUGACGGAGCAACGCCGCGUGAGCGAAGAAGGUCUUCGGAUCGUAAAGCUCUGUUGUCAGGGAAGAACAAGUACCGUUCGAAUAGGGCGGUGCCUUGACGGUACCUGACCAGAAAGCCACGGCUAACUACGUGCCAUCAGCCGCGGUAAUAC
RNAcentral lists this ribosomal RNA (446 nucleotides) under Bacillus sp. J04C015Y. RNAcentral's name for it is "bacterial SSU rRNA". It matches the Rfam family "Bacterial small subunit ribosomal RNA", at positions 95 to 526 of the family's 1533-position model. Lineage: Bacteria; Bacillati; Bacillota; Bacilli; Caryophanales; Bacillaceae. The record is from RNAcentral. RNAcentral also lists the same sequence under 1 other name.